RNAcentral lists this long non-coding RNA (469 nucleotides) under Bos taurus (domestic cattle). RNAcentral describes it as "long non-coding RNA NONBTAT022124". The record is from RNAcentral. Lineage: Eukaryota; Metazoa; Chordata; Mammalia; Artiodactyla; Bovidae.
GUGAAGUCAUUGAGUAUGUUACAGUAAACAUAUGAAGCUCACUAACAAAUAGUUUCUUUUGUUAGAGUUUGAAGCACUAAAAAUUGAUUGGCAUUUUGAUCCCCAUGCAUAUCCUAGCUGAGAACUGCUCUGUGAGCUGGGUCUCCCUGAACCAGACUCUUGCAUGAAUAUUCCCCCAAACACUGGUGGCUUUUCCCACUUCUUAAGUCUCUGCUGCCACACUGUGGGGAAACACAGAACAAUACAUUAGCUUACAUAUUUUUGUCAUCUUUUUACCAAGGAGCCAUGGUCAUUUACAGUGCCUUGAAUUCAGUUUGAAAAAUAGCAUAAAAGCUAAAAAGAACUUUCAGAUAAAGGAUGAUGUUAACUAAAGUCAUUACAGAGUAGGGGAUUGAUGGUACUAUUAUCAAUAGAGUUGCUUUAUUGACUACUUGGGUAAUGAGCUCAGUUCAAAAUGUAGUUACUUUAA